CCUUACAUUUGAGAGGAACGGUGCUCCCACUGAUCCUCAUCUUAGAAUAUUCUAAGACCACCUGGUAAUUACGACUACUUUCUUAGAAUGAUCUUCUUUUUACUUUGCCUUUUUAUCAUGCAACAAAUCAAGUAUUAUUAAGUUCUAUUGUUAAUUUUUUAUUAAAUCAUGGUUUAAUUACUUUCUCUGCUACUACUUUUUUCUCUAUGAUUACAAUGUAGUUUUUCAUUAUGCAGAAACAUAAUCUCUUAUACAUGCUCUCUAACAUAGUAACGAGCAUCUGGAAUCUCAAGAACACAGCUGAGUUGGUUGUUUUCACAUGGUACCUAUUACUGUUCAAUUCUCAUUUCUCAAAUACUGGAUACACAACUUUGAACUUUAUAAUUGGAACGAAUGUUAACUCUUUGAAGUUAUAAGGAAAAACUCACAUGAACACAAACUUAUACCAUUAGACUAAUAAGGUGUUGAUCUAGUGUUGUAAGGCCUCUUUAGAUCUUGAGGCUGACCAAAAAGUCAAAUAUCGAUUCUUGGGAACAACACUUGAGAAGAGUAACCACAUACUUGCGUAAAGGGUGAGGGGAUACCUUAGUAGGACCAAUAAAAUCACAUGAUACUUUUGUGUAUUAAUUAUAUUAUUAAAUGGUGGAUGUUUGAUGGAAGUUUAUGAAUGAUUUUAUUUUAUCUCAAGUAGGCAUGUACAAGAUUCUUCUCAUAUACGCUAACCCAUCCUAACUCCAAAUUCAUUUUCAUGAGUUUGUAUUUUAGAAAUUAGACUUGUUCUGUCUUUUACAUCAGGUUAGCCAACUUGAUAUCUCACAUGCUUUUGGAAUGUAUAAUAUUUUUAGCAUAUGAGAAUAAGUAGUAAGAGUUCUUCCCUUAGGCUACUAAUAUUUUGUAAGAUAAUCCUG
This 908-nucleotide long non-coding RNA is filed under the name Lupinus angustifolius (narrow-leaved blue lupine). RNAcentral describes it as "long non-coding RNA (LANG_LNC003133)". The record is from RNAcentral. Lineage: Eukaryota; Viridiplantae; Streptophyta; Magnoliopsida; Fabales; Fabaceae.